GUGGGGAAUUGUUCGCAAUGGGCGCAAGCCUGACGACGCAACGCCGCGUGGAGGACGAAGAUCUUCGGGUCGUAAACUCCUUUCGAUCGAGAAGAAUGCCUUCGGAGCGAAUACCUCCGGAGGGUGACGGUAUCGAGAGAAGAAGCCCCGGCUAACUCUGUGCCAGCAGCCGCGGUAAUACAGGGGGGGCAAGCGUUGUUCGGAAUUACUGGGCGUAAAGGGCUCGUAGGCGGCCAACUAAGUCACACGUGAAAUCCCCAGGCUUAACCUGGGAACUGCGUCUGAUACUGGGUGGCUUGAAUCCGGGAGAGGGAUGCGGAAUUCCAGGUGUAGCGGUGAAAUGCGUAGAUAUCUGGAGGAACACCGGUGGCGAAGGCGGCAUCCUGGACCGGUAUUGACGCUGAGGCGCGAAAGCCAGGGGAGCAAA
Molecule: ribosomal RNA, 427 nt
Filed under: uncultured bacterium
Lineage: Bacteria
Description: bacterial SSU rRNA
Rfam family: Bacterial small subunit ribosomal RNA
Source: RNAcentral